CGCAUCUGUGCAUGCAGCAUAUCAAUAAGCGGAGGAAAAGAAACUAACAAGGAUUCCCCUAGUAACGGCGAGUGAAGCGGGAAGAGCUCAAAUUUGAAAUCUUAAAGGGUUUCCCUUUACGAAUUGUAGUUUAAAGAAGUGUUUUCUGUUGAGGUUUUGGUAAAAGUUCUUUGGAAUAGGACAUCAUAGAGGGUGAGAAUCCCGUAUUUGACCUUUACUUUCAACUUUGUGAUACACUUUCAAAGAGUCGGAUUGUUUGGGAAUGCAGUCCAAAAUGGGUGGUAAAUUUCAUCUAAAGCUAAAUAUUGGCGAGAGACCGAUAGCGAACAAGUACCGUGAGGGAAAGAUGAAAAGAACUUUGAAAAGAGAGUUAAACAGUACGUGAAAUUGUCAAAAGGGAAGCGUUUGACACCAGUGUUGUUUUUCUGAAAAUCAAUUAAAGAACUGUUUAUGCUAAGGUGUUUAGACUUUAUCAGCUAACUGUUUAGUUUUGAGCUUUUCUUUAAUGCACUUUUCAGUUAACAAGUCAACAUCAAUUUCUUUUGCUGUAAAAAAGCUUGAGGAAGGUGGCUUGAGAUUCGUCUUAAGUGUUUAUAGCCUCUUGCCUAUGCAGUCGGAGAGAUUGAGGUCUGCAGCGUAGAUCCUUCGGGGCUAAAUGCAUUUGUGCUAAGUUAUAGCAUUUUAUAGACAACUUGUUGACUAUGAUUUGUCUUGUAGCUUACUCGCUUAUGUUAUUUUACCUACGCUUAGGAUGUUGAGUCGUAGAGCACGCAG
This 774-nucleotide ribosomal RNA is filed under the name uncultured Neocallimastigales. Its description in RNAcentral is "partial large subunit ribosomal RNA". It matches the Rfam family "Eukaryotic large subunit ribosomal RNA", at positions 26 to 628 of the family's 3401-position model. Lineage: Eukaryota; Fungi; Neocallimastigomycota; Neocallimastigomycetes; Neocallimastigales. The record is from RNAcentral.